GACGAACGCUGGCGGCGUGCUUAACACAUGCAAGUCGAACGGAAAGGCCCUGCUUUUGUGGGGUGCUCGAUUGGCGAACGGGUGAGUAACACGUGAGUAACCUGCCCUUGACUUUGUGAUAACUUCAGGAAACUGGGGCUAAUACCGGAUAGGAGCUCCUGCUGCAUGGUGGGGGUUGGAAAGUUUCGGCGGUUGGGGAUGGACUCGCGGCUUAUCAGCUUGUUUGUGGGGUAGUGGCUUACCAAGGCUUUGACGGGUAGCCGGCCUGAGAGGGUGACCGGCCACAUUGGGACUGAGAUACGGACCAGACUCGUACGGGAGGCAGCAGUGGGGAAUAUUGCACAAUGGGCGGAAGCCUGAUGCAGCAACGCCGCGUGCGGGAUGACGGCCUUCGGGUUGUAAACCGCUUUCGCCUGUGACGAAGCGUGAGUGACGGUAAUGGGUAAAGAAGCACCGGCUAACUACGUG
RNAcentral lists this ribosomal RNA (468 nucleotides) under uncultured bacterium. RNAcentral describes it as "partial 16S ribosomal RNA". It matches the Rfam family "Bacterial small subunit ribosomal RNA", at positions 28 to 507 of the family's 1533-position model. The record is from RNAcentral.